UUAGUCCUUUAAUUUAGGACUGGAAUGAAAGAGUUGACUAAAGAAAUUUAAUUAUAGUAAUAAAUAUUUAACCUUAUUUUUUAGUAAAAAAGCUAAAAUUUUAUUAAUAGACAAGAAGACCCUAUAAAUCUUAACAUAUUUGAGGAUUAGCAUCUUAAUUUAUGUUGGGCUGGGGCGGCAGAAAAGACAAACGUUUUCAAAUUUUUAAAUAAAAGUUUUUAUACCUGAAAAUUUCAAAAUUAGAACAAGAUACUUUAGGGAUAACAGCGUAAUUUAUUUUGAAAGCCCAUAUUGACAAAUAAGGUUGCGACCUCGAUGUUGAAUUAAAUAACCUUUAUCCCGCAU
This 345-nucleotide ribosomal RNA is filed under the name Lychas obsti. RNAcentral's name for it is "partial large subunit ribosomal RNA". Lineage: Eukaryota; Metazoa; Arthropoda; Arachnida; Scorpiones; Buthidae. The record is from RNAcentral.